Pelobates cultripes (western spadefoot toad) is the source of this 480-nucleotide non-coding RNA. NCBI's taxonomy places the organism in Eukaryota, Metazoa, Chordata, Amphibia, Anura, Pelobatidae. The record is from the annotation of a GenBank genome assembly.
UGCCAGUUAGGUUAUUCACUAAAGUGAUUACGAAGUUAAUUUUACAUUUAUAGCCAGAGUAGCUGAACUGAAAGCAUAGCUUUGAAUUAUCACAUGCUCACAUUAGUAAAUAACCCUAUUAGUUUUCAGUUUUAUCUCUUUCAUUCUUUCUUGUUUGUUUUUCCCCUUCUCUCCCAAAUUUCCUUAAAAGUGGUUUGUUGCUCCCCUCUGACUGUGCCUGUAGUAUGGCAACGCCUGCUACUUGCUUGUCUGGCCAGUGCCGGUAUUGCAAAAAUAAUGGCAAUGCAAAGACAAUUAUUGUUUUCUGGCGGGAUUCUAGGAGAGUGGUGAGAGAAAUGAAACCAGAACAUCCAUCUCUAUUAUACAUGGCAGGUACACUCAUUGCAGUACAAACACAAUGGCAGCCUCCACGCAGACACUGUGUAGGAAAAAAACACACAUUGCCACACACACUCACAUUAUGCAUACACUGACAAAAAG